RNAcentral lists this ribosomal RNA (433 nucleotides) under uncultured bacterium. RNAcentral's name for it is "partial 16S ribosomal RNA". It matches the Rfam family "Bacterial small subunit ribosomal RNA", at positions 28 to 507 of the family's 1533-position model. The record is from RNAcentral.
AACGAACGCUGGCGGCAUGCCUAACACAUGCAGGUCGAACGAGACCUUCGGGUCUAGUGGCGCACGGGUGCGUAACGCGUGGGAACCUGCCCUUAGGUUCGGAAUAACUCCCCGAAAGGGGUGCUAAUACCGGAUAAUGUCUUCGGACCAAAGAUUUAUCGCCUUUGGAUGGGCCCGCGUUGGAUUAGCUAGUUGGUAGGGUAAAAGCCUACCAAGGCGACGAUCCAUAGCUGGUCUGAGAGGAUGAUCAGCCACACUGGGACUGAGACACGGCCCAGACGACUACGGGAGGCAGCUGUGGGGCAUGUUGGACAAUGGUCGCGGGCUUGAGCCAGCAGUGCAGCGGGAGUGAUGAUGGCGUUAGGGUGGGAAGGCGCUUGUGCCCGGGCUGAUCAUGACGGGGCCGGGAGAAUAGGCUCCGGCGAGCGCCGUG